UUCUGUUGAGUUGAAUUGAGGUGUGUUCAGUUGUGUUGAGUUGAAUUGUAUUGUUGUCUUGAAUUGUGUUCAGUUCUGUUGAGUUGAAUUGAGGUGUGUUCAGUUGUGUUGAGUUGAAUUGUAUUGUUGUCUUGAAUUGUGUUCAGUUGUGUUGUCUUGAAUUGUGUUCAGUUGUGUUGUGUUGAGUUGAACUGUAUUGUUGUCUUGAAUUGUGUUCAGUUGUGUUGUCUUGAAUUGUGUUCAGUUGUGUUGAGUUGAAUUGUAUUGUUGUCUUGAAUUGUGUUCAGUUGUGUUGAGUUGAAUUGAGGUGUGUUCAGUUGUGUUGAGUUGAAAUGAGGUGUGUUCAGUUAUGUUGAGUUGAAUUGAGGUGUGUUUAGUUGUGUUCAGUUUUGUUGAGUUGAAUUGAGGUGUGUUCAGUUGAACUGAGGUGUGUUCAGUUGUGUUGAGUUGAAUUGAGGUGUGUUCAGUUGUGUUGAGCCAUGUUGAAUUGAGGUGUGUUGAAUUGUGUUCAGUUCUGUUGAGUUGAAUUGAGGUGUGUUCAGUUCUAUUGAGUUGAAUUGAGGUGUGUUCAGUUGUGUUGAGUUGAAUUGAGGUGUGUUCAGUUGUGUUGAGCCAUGUUGAAUUGAGGUGUGUUCAGUUGUGUUGAGUUGAAUUGAGGUGUGUUUAGUUGUGUUGAGUUGAAUUGAGGUGUGUUCAGUUGUGUUGAGUUGAAUUGAGGUGUGUUCAGUUGUGUUGAGUUGAAUUGAGGUGUGUUCAGUUCUGUUGAGUUGAAUUGAGGUGUGUUCAGUUGUGUUGAGCCAUGUUGAAUUGAGGUGUGUUCAGUUCUGUUGAGUUGAAUUGAGGUGUGUUCAGUUGUGUUGAGUUGAAUUGAGGUGUGUUCAGUUCUGUUGAGUUGAAUUGAGGUGUGUUCAGUUGUGUUGAGCCAUGUUGAAUUGAGGUGUGUUCAGUUCUGUUGAGUUGAAUUGAGGUGUGUUCAGUUGUGUUGAGUUGAAUUGAGGUGUGUUCAGUUCUGUUGAGUUGAAUUGAGGUGUGUUCAGUUCUGUUGAGUUGAAUUGAGGUGUGUUCAGUUGUGUUGAGUUGAAUUGAGGUGUGUUUAGUUGUGUUGAGUUGAAUUGAGGUGUGUUCAGUUGUGUUGAGUUGAAUUGAGGUGUGUUCAGUUGUGUUGAGUUGAAUUGAGGUGUGUUCAGUUGUGUUGAGCCAUGUUGAAUUGAGGUGUGUUCAGUUGUGUUGAGUUGAA
Xyrauchen texanus (razorback sucker) is the source of this 1237-nucleotide long non-coding RNA. RefSeq lists it as uncharacterized. The record is from RefSeq and is a predicted model, not a curated record. The transcript has 3 exons. NCBI's taxonomy places the organism in Eukaryota, Metazoa, Chordata, Actinopteri, Cypriniformes, Catostomidae.